AGACGUUCCUGUCGCCAGCCGCCUGCACUCCGCAUCGGCCAGACUGAUUUCAGAUACCUCUCUCAUCUCACAAGAAUGGAAUCAGCUGUGGCAAGCAGUUCGAGAAAAAGCUGAUCACAGACCUGAGUUCUCAAACCAUUUAAUCAAGGUUAUUGGCCACCUGAUAAUUUUACCAGCCUUGUUUAUCAAUCAAAGCCUUCACCAAUCUCCUGUUUAACAACUAAGGUUAUAAAUUCCUUUUU
This is a long non-coding RNA of Cavia porcellus (domestic guinea pig), 242 nucleotides long. RefSeq lists it as uncharacterized. NCBI's taxonomy places the organism in Eukaryota, Metazoa, Chordata, Mammalia, Rodentia, Caviidae. The transcript is spliced from 3 exons. The record is from RefSeq and is a predicted model, not a curated record.